This is a long non-coding RNA of Betta splendens (Siamese fighting fish), 659 nucleotides long. RefSeq lists it as uncharacterized. NCBI's taxonomy places the organism in Eukaryota, Metazoa, Chordata, Actinopteri, Anabantiformes, Osphronemidae. The record is from RefSeq and is a predicted model, not a curated record. The transcript is spliced from 4 exons.
AUGACGCCUUUCUGUGCGCUCCCUCUCCUCUCAGCGCUCGAUCCCGGCGAGUGCGGGCAUCACUGAAGACCUGACGCCGGCGGAAUCGGACGCGCGGCUCUCUCCGGCGCAAUUGAGCGGGUGUUAUCCGACGCAGAACUUCGUCGCCGCCACGCGAAGCUUUCCGAGCGGUCGCCGCGCGGGCCGCCGCGCCGCUCCGCCGGAGGAACAGACUUUUUCCGCGUCCGUGCGACCGCAGCGGCGCAGCGGCCAGACAAUAACGCCUAGAAGUUAUUGAAAUGAACCGUCAUGAAAAGAGCUGGCACGAGAAGAAGAAACGGAACGAACGGCAGCGGCGCUAGUGUUUAUUGCCGAGAGAAAGACACGAGGAAGAGACGAGCGGUGAGGGAACGGUCCAGACAUGAAGGAGGCAUGCAGACGCACACAAACGGCACCUCCAGUCUGUCUGCGGUCUGCCAUCAGCCUGCCACAAACACACACACGCCAGUUACGUGGGUGUCUGUAAUUGCAGGGCAGCAGGCAGAGGUGGGGGCGACGCCAUUCCCACCGCGAGGAGACGGAAGGGGCCGACGCUCGCUCGCACACAGAGCCGGAGGCGCGUCAGCAGGUGAGUAUUAAGCCAGGCAUCUAAACAGGUCAUGUCGCUGUAUGAUGUCUGC